AACGAACGCUGGCGGCAGGCCUAACACAUGCAAGUCGAGCGGACCUUUCGGGGUCAGCGGCGGACGGGUGAGUAACGCGUGGGAAUAUGCCCUUCUCUACGGAAUAGUCCUGGGAAACUGGGGGUAAUACCGUAUACGCCCUUUGGGGGAAAGAUUUAUCGGGGAAGGAUUAGCCCGCGUUGGAUUAGGUAGUUGGUGGGGUAAUGGCCUACCAAGCCGACGAUCCAUAGCUGGUUUGAGAGGAUGAUCAGCCACACUGGGACUGAGACACGGCCCAGACUCCUACGGGAGGCAGCAGUGGGGAAUAUUAGACAAUGGGCGCAACCCUGAUCUAGCCAUGCCGCGUGAGUGAUGAAGGCCUUAGGGUUGUAAAGCUCUUUCAGCUGGGAAGAUAAUGACGGUACCAGCAGAAGAAGCCCCGGCUAACUCCGUG
RNAcentral lists this ribosomal RNA (433 nucleotides) under uncultured bacterium. Its description in RNAcentral is "partial 16S ribosomal RNA". It matches the Rfam family "Bacterial small subunit ribosomal RNA", at positions 29 to 507 of the family's 1533-position model. The record is from RNAcentral.